AUCUUCCUUUGCUGACUAAGACUUUCUCACGAUACAUGCAAUAGUAUAUAUAUUACAAGCUAGCUAUAUAUCACAUCAUUCAUUCAACAAAAUUUAUAUCGCCAUUACUAACUCCCUUAUGUACUCUGAGACAUACACAUACAUGAAGCUUUUGUGGUAUCUUUUGCGCUUCUUCUGUCUCUUUCUGAUUCUUUUCCAUCCUACCAUUGCUGCUAGGAGUAAUCUUAAUUUUGGUCGUGUGCAAGAUCACGCAAUAAAGGCUCCUCCAGCCCCAAAGAUUGGCUCUAAUUCACGCCCAUGAAAUAAUAAUAAUGUCAAACAACUUAUACAUACACUGUUGUGCUA
Non-coding RNA from Arachis ipaensis, 345 nucleotides. The record is from RefSeq and is a predicted model, not a curated record. NCBI's taxonomy places the organism in Eukaryota, Viridiplantae, Streptophyta, Magnoliopsida, Fabales, Fabaceae.